Molecule: RNA transcript, 2689 nt
Organism: Olea europaea var. sylvestris
Lineage: Eukaryota; Viridiplantae; Streptophyta; Magnoliopsida; Lamiales; Oleaceae
Gene name: 21.7 kDa class VI heat shock protein
Exons: 8
Source: RefSeq, a predicted model, not a curated record
UGAUGCGUUUCCUCUGUGGGAGUUUGAUUCUGACGAGUUGCUGCCCAAUCUCAAUAGCUCUGGUCAGCGCAGUGUGGUUUGGUUCCAAACUGAUGCCGAUUGUGUUCUGAAAGCUGACCUAUCUGCGCCACGUGGGGAAAGCAAGUGGGAGGCUCAAGAACCUGUACUGGCUUAUCUAAUCAACUCCGGGGAGAUAAAUCAGGAGACGGCUGAAUUGAUGUGGAUAAACUGUAGGCUUGAGAUGAUGCAGGCCGAACAAGCUUUAGAAAACCUUGAAGUAUGCAUCUCAGAGGAGUGGCCAAUGGACAAGGAACGUUCGUCAUCAGCCAAAGCAGAUAUAAGUAAAACUGUCAAUAUCUUACAUCCACAGGCCAAAUUCUUCUGAAAGGCGUGAGUUAAUUCAGAGAUUUGGAGGAGCAGCAGCAACAGCAGUUUCUUCACCUAGUCCACCGUUAAAUGAUUCAGUUGUUGGUUUUUGGGGACUGGCUCUGGAUGAGGAAGAAAUUAUGAAAGCCCUCUUCUUAGCUUAAGCUUAAGUGACCAUUCCAUUGCCUCUUCACAGAAGUCAUUUGGUCUUCAAACUUCAGUGAAUGACGAAAAGCUUGGUAACCAAUUAUUUAAUAACAAAUUGAACCAUAACAAAAUUAGCAGCAAGUUCUAUAUGAAGUCUCAUUCUGUGAGUGAUUAAAAAAUUGAGAUUCCAGUUGGAACCAUUACUGCAGCCACCAUAAGCUCAGCAGAUGAUUCUGUGCAGAAAACACCUGGAAUGUUGGGUACUUCUGGAUUGCCUGUACUGAAGCCGCCUUCUGGAAAGGCAGAUCCUCCUAAACUACCUCCAGGCAAGACAGCUCCGCCCUGCCCCCGCCUGCUCUACCUGUACCACCAGCACCACACAUGAAACUUUCGUCUGGUGGGCCUCAUCCUCCGCCUCCUGGGCCACCACCUCCUGCUGCUAUACCUUCUGGUAUCAGGACUGGUCCUAACCCACCACCACCUCCUCCAUCUUCUAUACCUUCUGGCAUCAAGAUUGGUCCUCACCCACCACCAUCCCCUCCACCCGCUAUAAGUUCUGGCAUCAUGACUGGUACUUACCCACCACCACCUCCAGACGGUGUCUCUCCACCAAGGCCACCUCCCGUUGGCUUGAAACCACCUCCACCUCUUGGAUCUACUUUAGGGGGAGAUGCAGGUGCUCCUAAAGCUAAGCUGAACUUUUCUUUUGGGACAAGGUUUUGGUGAACUCUGAUAAUUCAGUGGUUUGGCAUUGGAUCAAAUCUGGCUCUUUCCAGUUCAAUGAAGAGAUGAUAGAGACCAUAUAUGGCUAUACCCCUGCUGAAAAAAAUAAGAAUGAGGCCAAGAAAGACUUCAUUUCAAGAUCCUCCAACCCAAUUUAUUCAAAUAAUUGAUUCAAAAAAGUCAAUAAUCUUUUGGAUCUUCUCAAAGCAUUAAAAUGUGACUACACAAUAAGUUUGUGAUGCACUUCGAGAAGGUGAGUUUAUUUCUCUGUUCCAUUUUGAAUUUGGGAUACACAGUAGCAGGCUGCAGAGUAGAAGAUUAUUGAUGAUGUAGAUGUCAGCAGGGAAAUCUCAUGUGCUUCAAAGAAUGAUCAGAUGGCCAAAAAAAUAUUUAGUCUAGUUUUAUGCGUUGUGGUGAGCAUCCAACAUAUCUUUGACUAAUUAUUUCUGCCCCGAAGAGGAAAAAAACAUGGUAAGUUAUAAAAAUGCUCUAUCUUCAUCAAGCCUCAGUGAAAACCAAGUCCUCAUAUAUAUGAUGCUUAAGUUUUUGGAAGUCCGAGUCUGGAUUAUAAUAUUCUAACAUGGUGGUUAUAAAUGUUGAUUCACUAAUACAAUUCAUAAAUUACCUUAUGGUUCACACCUUUCUUUGUUUUUGUUUGUGUGCGAGAGGCAUUCUUGUCUUAGCAAGUGUCUGUGUUAAUGGCGGUUUAAAACCUGAGAUAGAUCUCCUGGUCCUCAAUGUUUCCCAUUGUCAUUUUUUUCCCUCUGUCUAAUUUAUUUUAGUGUCUCCUUAAAAGUAUGAAGAAAUAUGGACAUGAUUCAGAAUCGCUAGGUGAUGCAACCUUUUUCUCUUUUAAAACAUAGACUCGUCCAUGUGAGAAAUUUAUGAUUUGUUUGCCUUGUGACUACUUGGUAGUAUUUGAUUAUAACAGUAUUUAAAUGACUCCUUUAUAGCUUAUUGCUGCAAUUUAUCUAUAUAUUCACAAUUUUCUUUAUGUGAUGAAAUUUCUGGAGUUAAAUGAUUUCUAAUCAGUUCUCUCAGGAUCCUUGCUUCGGAUGUUCUCUGUUUGAGAGGAUCUGGUGGUUCCUGGUGGAACGCUUGUUAGGAAAUGAAAUGUUUUAGGUAAUUAGCUUCCUUUGGAGUUUAUUCAACAUUUGAUAAAGAUGGCACCAACAGCUGAAGAAGAAUUGAAGCUGAGACUAUAUAGUGGCAAGCUUUCUCAAAUUGGUACGGCUGAUGGCUUCCUGAAAGUCUUGUUUGACAUUCCAUUUGCCUUUAAGUGGUAUUGUUGGGCUUUGAAUCCUUCUAGUGUAUCUGCAUAUUUGUUUGAUCUAUGCUUUGUCUAAAAGCGUGUUUAGAAAGGUUGAAGGUAUUAAUUUAAUCAAUACGUGCUAGCUCUUGGUUUAAAUGAUGAUUCCAAUUAGUGUAGCUUAUAUACAAAUACCAUUACUUA